This 190-nucleotide small RNA is filed under the name Sinorhizobium meliloti 2011. RNAcentral's name for it is "putative ncRNA". The record is from RNAcentral. Lineage: Bacteria; Pseudomonadati; Pseudomonadota; Alphaproteobacteria; Hyphomicrobiales; Rhizobiaceae.
AUGCGGCAUGGCGCGCGGAAACCCCGCGGGAGAAAGUUCAUGCCGAUGUACGUGCAGGUGCCGGAAAAUAGCCAAAGGCUCUGGCAAGGUCAACCAGCCGCUGUGAAUUGUAUGGAAAUAAAAUGCCUUAUAAUUCAAUCGGUUGCCAAAGACGUUUGAUUGUACCUGCCGCACUGGUUUAAGACGAUGA